This 420-nucleotide long non-coding RNA is filed under the name Mus pahari (shrew mouse). RNAcentral describes it as "lncRNA (MGP_PahariEiJ_G0002740.1)". Lineage: Eukaryota; Metazoa; Chordata; Mammalia; Rodentia; Muridae. The record is from RNAcentral.
GAGGGAGGCCUGGCUAAGGCUUAUUCACUUGUGGUCCUUCUUCCUGAGAUAGGGAAUGGCCCUGAGAGGUUGUAGAAUGGAGGCCUCCCUAAGUCUCCCCAGCAAUGCACUCUAGCCUUGUUCUGCACAGCAGUCAGGGCAGAACUGCACACGUGUGGUAUGAAAUGAUGAGAUACUCAUAGCAACCCUGGACAUAAAGCCAAACGCCUGCAAAACAGGGCGUCCAGAGCAGUUAGUUACCUGCCCCACCCUGCGUGCUCUGUAGCUGGGAGACCCCAGAGCCGCCCAACCAGAUAAAGGCUUGCUGGCCUGCUGGGGAAGCCUGGGAAAUCACAGGGGAAGAAGGGCACCGAGGCAGCCGACUGCGAGGUGGGGAAGCAAUCUGGCUCAAAUAAACAAACCAGGAAAUGAGUGUCACCU